UGGGGAAUAUUGCACAAUGGGCGCAAGCCUGAUGCAGCCAUGCCGCGUAUAUGAAGAAGGCCUUCGGGUUGUAAAGUACUUUCAGCGGGGAGGAAGGUGUUGAGGUUAAUAACCUCAGCAAUUGACGUUACCCGCAGAAGAAGCACCGGCUAACUCCGUGCCAGCAGCCGCGGUAAUACGGAGGGUGCAAGCGUUAAUCGGAAUUACUGGGCGUAAAGCGCACGCAGGCGGUCUGUCAAGUCGGAUGUGAAAUCCCCGGGCUCAACCUGGGAACUGCAUUCGAAACUGGCAGGCUAGAGUCUUGUAGAGGGGGGUAGAAUUCCAGGUGUAGCGGUGAAAUGCGUAGAGAUCUGGAGGAAUACCGGUGGCGAAGGCGGCCCCCUGGACAAAGACUGACGCUCAGGUGCGAAAGCGUGGGGAGCAAACAGG
RNAcentral lists this ribosomal RNA (429 nucleotides) under bacterium. RNAcentral describes it as "partial 16S ribosomal RNA". It matches the Rfam family "Bacterial small subunit ribosomal RNA", at positions 355 to 776 of the family's 1533-position model. The record is from RNAcentral.